AUUGAACGCUGGCGGCAGGCCUAAUACAUGCAAGUCGAACGGCAGCACAGCAGAGCUUGCUCUGUGGGUGGCGAGUGGCGGACGGGUGAGGAAUACAUGGGAAUCUGCCCAGUCGUGGGGGAUAACGUAUGGAAACGUACGCUAAUACCGCAUGCGCCCUACGGGGGAAAGCCGGGGACCGCAAGGCCUGGCGCGAUUGGAUGAGCCCAUGUUCGAUUAGCUAGUUGGCGGGGUAAAGGCCCACCAAGGCGACGAUCGAUAGCUGGUCUGAGAGGAUGAUCAGCCACACUGGAACUGAGACACGGUCCAGACUCCUACGGGAGGCAGCAGUAGGGAAUAUUGGACAAUGGGGGCAACCCUGAUCCAGCCAUGCCGCGUGAGUGAAGAAGGCCCUCGGGUUGUAAAGCUCUUUUGUCCGGAAAGAAAGCAAUCGGUUAAUACCCGGUUGUUCUGACGGUACCGGAAGAAUAAGCACCGGCUAACUUCGUGCC
Molecule: ribosomal RNA, 491 nt
Filed under: uncultured bacterium
Lineage: Bacteria
Description: bacterial SSU rRNA
Rfam family: Bacterial small subunit ribosomal RNA
Source: RNAcentral